UGGUUCUGGCAUCGAUGAAGAACGCAGCGAAAUGCGAUAAGUAAUGUGAAUUGCAGAAUCCAGUGAAUCAUCGAAUCUUUGAACGCACAUUGUGCCCUCUGGCAUUAAAGAUGUCUCUUUGGCGUUGGGCAAUGCCCGGAGGCAUGCCUUAAAAUCAGCGAUGGCGGCCUUUGGCCACGGGCGCACAAACGUGCCUAGCCGGUCGGACGUCGCGGUCGAUUGACGAAUCUCCAAAUGUUGACCUCGGAUCAGGUAGGGAUACCCGCUGA
RNAcentral lists this unclassified non-coding RNA (269 nucleotides) under uncultured fungus. RNAcentral describes it as "partial contains 5.8S ribosomal RNA and internal transcribed spacer 2". The stretch from base 1 to 127 matches the Rfam family "5.8S ribosomal RNA", at positions 22 to 154 of the family's 154-position model. The record is from RNAcentral. Lineage: Eukaryota; Fungi.